Molecule: ribosomal RNA, 253 nt
Filed under: uncultured bacterium
Lineage: Bacteria
Description: partial 16S ribosomal RNA
Rfam family: Bacterial small subunit ribosomal RNA
Source: RNAcentral
UACAGAGGUCUCAAGCGUUGUUCGGAUUCAUUGGGCGUAAAGGGUGCGUAGGCGGCGCGGUAAGUCAAAGGUGAAAUCCCUCGGCUCAACUGAGGAACUGCCUUUGAAACUGUCGGGCUUGAGGCCGGGAGAGGGUAGUGGAAUUCCCAGUGUAGCGGUGAAAUGCGUAGAUAUUGGGAGGAACACCAGUGGCGAAGGCGGCUACCUGGACCGGUUCUGACGCUGAGGCGCGAAAGCGUGGGUAGCAAACAGG